Molecule: long non-coding RNA, 474 nt
Filed under: Vulpes vulpes (red fox)
Lineage: Eukaryota; Metazoa; Chordata; Mammalia; Carnivora; Canidae
Description: lncRNA (ENSVVUG00000012835.1)
Source: RNAcentral
UUUCUUUCUCUUUGCAGGCUUCAUUUUCUUGGGCUUCCCUACCUGGCCAGACUCACGAUCCAGAAGGACAGUCUCAGUUCAGCCAGUUCCUGCCAAGGAAUCCUGGGGAAGGCUGGUGACUGAUCCAGCUGUCAUAUGAUUGCUCUGUGUGGUGACAUGGACUCAUCCCAGGACAAGCAGACUCGUCAGAGCAAGAACACAGUCUGGAAGCAUGGUCCUGAUGCUGGAAUAGAGAGGAUUUCUGAUAACCUGGAAUAUUUGCAAGAGCUCAGCAACACUCCAAGAAUUAUUCUAGGCUUCCCUUACUGAUAAUGAACUAAUCCCAUCAAUUAAUAUAAAUGGACUAAUGGAAGUUCCUUUGACUUCUCUUCCCAGGAUUCUUACUUUCCACUUAAAAAAAAAAAAAGGUAAGUAAACUUUUUUCUUUUUCUUUUUUUUUAUAUUUUAUUUAUUUAUUUAUGAGAGACACAGAGA